UACAGAGGGGGCAAGCGUUGUUCGGAAUUACUGGGCGUAAAGGGCGCGUAGGCGGCCUCCUAAGUCGAACGUGAAAUCCCCGGGCUCAACCCGGGAACUGCGUCCGAGACUGGAAGGCUUGAAUCCGGGAGAGGGAUGUGGAAUUCCAGGUGUAGCGGUGAAAUGCGUAGAUAUCUGGAGGAACAUCGGUGGCGAAGGCGGCAUCCUGGACCGGUAUUGACGCUGAGGCGCGAAAGCCAGGGGAGCAAACGGG
RNAcentral lists this ribosomal RNA (253 nucleotides) under uncultured bacterium. RNAcentral describes it as "partial 16S ribosomal RNA". It matches the Rfam family "Bacterial small subunit ribosomal RNA", at positions 524 to 776 of the family's 1533-position model. The record is from RNAcentral.